This is a long non-coding RNA of Hibiscus syriacus, 190 nucleotides long. RefSeq lists it as uncharacterized. The record is from RefSeq and is a predicted model, not a curated record. NCBI's taxonomy places the organism in Eukaryota, Viridiplantae, Streptophyta, Magnoliopsida, Malvales, Malvaceae. The transcript is spliced from 3 exons.
UUUUAGGUGGUGUUUGUUUUUGCAGAGGUAAAAGGAAAUGAAAUCUUUGAGCAGUGUAGGGCUUGGUUUGAGCAUAGUGUUUGUUCUUCUGUUCUUAGCAUUGAUUGCCGAGUUGUAUUACUUGCUAUGGUGGAAGAAGAGAUUGUUCUACAUGUUUUGUGGGAAGAAAUCAGCUUUGAAUCCACAUGAA